CCUAAGGUAAAGGAUGCUCACAUACCAGGGCUGCAACUCUGUGCACAGACCAAGGAAGGAGAAGCCACAGAAGCUGUUUCCCUUCCCUCAGAACUAAAAGACUUUUAGUUCUAGGUACCACCCCUAGAAUUUCCAGUACACCAGCACCAGCCUGAAAACCACGUCCUCAUCAAAAGACAGAAAGAAAAAACUUGAGCCAGCCUGGGAAGAACCCUAUUUUAUGCUGUUAACCACUGAGACUGCCAUCCGCAGAGCCAAGAAAAAAACGACCACACUCCAGUCAAGAAAACAUCUUUCUCUCAGAAUCAUGGAUGACUGUACUAGGACCAAUCCUACUAAGUUAAAGUUAAAGAAAGCUUAAUUUUCCUGUACCUUCAUAUUGCUUCCUUUCCUUAUUGUUACUAGCGCCUUUGUUAUUACUGUAACUAACUCACCUCAGACCACCGCCUUGAAUGCUUGUUCUGUCAUACCUUGCGGAAAUGUAAAAGAUCAACAACAGCUAGCCUUUUCACACAAAUGCUUACGUCCCAGCCCUCUGAUGGACAUGGUUACCCCUAGCUCUCAUUAUCGUAAUGACCUGCAGCCAAGAUGCCAAUGUUCUGCUCCUAUAGCCUGCCAACUUUGUAGUAAACGGGACUAUACACAUUCAACUGCUCAGGAGCAAAGUUAAACUUCCAAGAAAAAGGUCUGUGCAGAUCUAAAACCCCUCAUCUAUUUCACUGAAAGGACUACCCUUUCGAACUGUCAGCCUUAUCAGUGUAACCCUGUCCUUCUCUAUCACCACCUCCACCUUAACUAACUCUAGACCUGCCCUCAGUCGCUUCUGUGGUAUGGGGAUUGACAUAAAUGGAAAAGACCCCCUAGGUAUUUUUUAAAUACGCAUUAUUCCCCCAUCUCCCCCUUCUUCAGUAGCCUCAGUUCUAGAUCUCACACCGGUUGCUUCUACAUCUAAUAAUAAAACUAGGGUGUCUAUUGUAAAAAUAAGAGAUCUAAAACAGACCUUAGCCAUCGAGAGAGUAUCAAGAUGCAAAUCCCUGG
This 1038-nucleotide long non-coding RNA is filed under the name Homo sapiens (human). RNAcentral describes it as "HSALNT0145196". The record is from RNAcentral. Lineage: Eukaryota; Metazoa; Chordata; Mammalia; Primates; Hominidae.